UGGGGAAUCUUGCGCAAUGGCCGAAAGGCUGACGCAGCGACGCCGCGUGGGGGAGGAAGGGCUUCGGCUCGUAAACCCCUGUUGCCCGGGGCGAACAGCAGGUUUCGACCUGCCUGACGGUACCGGGUGAGGAAGCACCGGCUAACUCCGUGCCAGCAGCCGCGGUAAUACGGAGGGUGCGAGCGUUGUCCGGAAUCACUGGGCGUAAAGGGCGCGUAGGUGGCCGAGCAAGGUCGCGGUGAAAGCCCGGGGCUCAACCCCGGGUCGGCCGUGGCAACUACUGGGCUGGAGCACUGUAGGGGCGGGUGGAAUUCCGGGUGUAGCGGUGGAAUGCGUAGAGAUCCGGAAGAACACCGGUGGCGAAGGCGGCCCGCUGGGCAGUUGCUGACACUGAGGCGCGACAGCGUGGGGAGCAAACAG
Molecule: ribosomal RNA, 420 nt
Filed under: uncultured bacterium
Lineage: Bacteria
Description: bacterial SSU rRNA
Rfam family: Bacterial small subunit ribosomal RNA
Source: RNAcentral